AAGCAACACAUUAUUAACCAACACAUCCGAAUCAUCACAGGCAUUAUUGCAAUUAAGAGUUCUUUGAGGUAUUCUUGUAGAAGUGGAAGCUUGUGAGACAUUCAAACUCUCCAUAGUUUCAGUUAACCUCUCAAGAGUCUUAUUGAGCCUUUGUAACUCACCACUGACUGACUUCUUAAAGAACUUAUAAUCGUUACCCAUAUUCGAUUCACUUCCAUCAGUACGAUCCACCACAUUCUUGUCUUUACUCAUCCUACCUUAAAUCAACAAAGAACAAAAAGAACUAGCA
Molecule: long non-coding RNA, 289 nt
Filed under: Manihot esculenta (cassava)
Lineage: Eukaryota; Viridiplantae; Streptophyta; Magnoliopsida; Malpighiales; Euphorbiaceae
Description: long non-coding RNA (MESC_LNC012257)
Source: RNAcentral